AAUAGAUACCCUGGUAGUCCACGCCGUAAACGAUGAGUGCUAAGUGUUAGGGGGUUUCCGCCCCUUAGUGCUGCAGCUAACGCAUUAAGCACUCCGGCCUGGGGAGUACGGCCGCAAGGCUGAAACUCAAAGGGAAUUGACGGGGGCCCGCACAAGCGGUGGAGCAUGUGGUUUAAUUCGAAGCAACGCGAAGAACCUUACCAGGUCUUGACAUCCUCUGACAACUCUAGAGAUAGAGCGUUCCCCUUCGGGGGACAGAGUGACAGGUGGUGCAUGGUUGUCGUCAGCUCGUGUCGUGAGAUGUUGGGUUAAGUCCCGCAACGAGCGCAACCCUUGAUCUUAGUUGCCAGCAUUCAGUUGGGCACUCUAAGGGUGACUGCCGGUGACAAACCGGAGGAAGGUGGGGAUGACGUCAAAUCAUCAUGCCCCUUAUGACCUGGGCUACACACGUGCUACAAUGGACGGUACAAAGAGUCGCAAGACCGCGAGGUGGAGCUAAUCUCAUAAAACCGUUCUCAGUUCGGAUUGCG
RNAcentral lists this ribosomal RNA (530 nucleotides) under uncultured bacterium. RNAcentral describes it as "bacterial SSU rRNA". It matches the Rfam family "Bacterial small subunit ribosomal RNA", at positions 777 to 1302 of the family's 1533-position model. The record is from RNAcentral.